GAGUUUGAUCCUGGCUCAGGAUGAACGCUGGCGGCGUGCCUAAUACAUGCAAGUCGAGCGAACAGACGAGGAGCUUGCUCCUCUGACGUUAGCGGCGGACGGGUGAGUAACACGUGGAUAACCUACCUAUAAGACUGGGAUAACUUCGGGAAACCGGAGCUAAUACCGGAUAAUAUAUUGAACCGCAUGGUUCAAUAGUGAAAGACGGUUUUGCUGUCACUUAUAGAUGGAUCCGCGCCGCAUUAGCUAGUUGGUAAAGUAACGGCUUACCAAGGCAACGAUGCGUAGCCGACCUGAGAGGGUGAUCGGCCACACUGGAACUGAGACACGGUCCAGACUCCUACGGGAGGCAGCAGUAGGGAAUCUUCCGCAAUGGGCGAAAGCCUGACGGAGCAACGCCGCGUGAGUGAUGAAGGUCUUCGGAUCGUAAAACUCUGUUAUUAGGGAAGAACAAAUGUGUAAGUAACUAUGCACGUCUUGACGGUACCUAAUCAGAAAGCCACGGCUAACUACGUGCCAGC
Molecule: ribosomal RNA, 521 nt
Filed under: uncultured microorganism
Description: bacterial SSU rRNA
Rfam family: Bacterial small subunit ribosomal RNA
Source: RNAcentral